GCCCCCCGCUCAGCGAUUGGCCGAAAAAUUGGGGCUGGGACGGGAACCGGGAGCCCGGGAUGCGCUGGGCAGGUGAGACAGGUGAGACAGGUGAGAUGGGACAGGUGAGAUGGGACAGGUGAGAUGGACAGGUGAGAUGGACAGGUGAGAUGGGACAGGUGAGACAUGGACAGGUGAGACAUGGACAGGUGAGACAGGUGAGAUGGACAGGUGAGACAUGGACAGGUGAGACAUGGACAGGUGAGAUGGGACAGGUGAGACAUGGACAGGUGAGACAUGGACAGGUGAGAUGGACAGGUGAGACAUGGACAGGUGAGAUGGACAGGUGAGAUGGGACAGGUGAGACAUGGACAGGUGAGACAUGGACAGGUGGGACAGGGACAGGUGGGACAGGUGAGAUGGGACAGGUGGGACAGGUGAGACACAGGUGAGAUGGGACAUGGACAGGUGGGACAGGUGAGAUGGACAGGUGAGGUGGGUGGGACACGGACAGGUGAGACAGGUGGGACACGUGAGGUGGGACAGGUGGGACAGGUGACAUUGGACAGGUGAGAUGGACAGGUGAGAUGGGACAGGUGAGAUGGACAGGUGAGACAGGUGGGACAGGUGAGGUUGGACAGGUGGGAGAGGUGGGACAGGUGACACAGGUGAGAUAUGAACAGGUGAGGUGGGUG
RNAcentral lists this long non-coding RNA (674 nucleotides) under Lonchura striata (white-rumped munia). RNAcentral describes it as "domestica (Bengalese finch) lncRNA (ENSLSDG00000010856.1)". Lineage: Eukaryota; Metazoa; Chordata; Aves; Passeriformes; Estrildidae. The record is from RNAcentral.